GAUGAAGAACGUAGUGAAAUGCGAUAAGUAAUGUGAAUUGCAGAAUUCAGUGAAUCAUCGAAUCUUUGAACGCACAUUGCGCCCGCCAGUGUUCUGGCGGGCAUGCCUGUUCGAGCGUCAUUACAACCCUCAGGCCCCCGGGCCUGGCGUUGGGGAUCGGCGGAGCCCCCCGUGGGCACACGCCGUCCCCCAAAUACAGUGGCGGUCCCGCCGCAGCUUCCAUCGCGUAGUAGCUAACACCUCGCGACUGGAGAGCGGCGCGGCCACGCCGUAAAACACCCAACUCUUCUGAAGUUGACCUCGAAUCAGGUAGGAAUACCCGCUGAACUUAAGCAUAUCAAUAAGCGGAGGA
RNAcentral lists this unclassified non-coding RNA (352 nucleotides) under soil metagenome. RNAcentral describes it as "partial contains 5.8S ribosomal RNA, internal transcribed spacer 2, and large subunit ribosomal RNA". The stretch from base 1 to 120 matches the Rfam family "5.8S ribosomal RNA", at positions 35 to 154 of the family's 154-position model. The record is from RNAcentral.